Long non-coding RNA from Homo sapiens (human), 1916 nucleotides. Ensembl annotates it as long intergenic non-protein coding RNA 1206. The record is from Ensembl. NCBI's taxonomy places the organism in Eukaryota, Metazoa, Chordata, Mammalia, Primates, Hominidae.
GGCAGUUGAGAUUCAGACCUUGACAGUUGUAACCGAUAGACUGGGCUGGGGCAACGCUGAUGAAAGGCAAAUUCCUGAGAGAAAAAUCACCCAGAUUUUUCAGUGCCUUCUCUAGCUUUCUAGAAGUUGUUAUGAGUGGACCUGACUACCUAGAGAGAGUAAUACAGAAGCUCCGUGCCGAUCACAGCUACCUCAUUACCAUGUUCCUCCAAGAUGGCCGCCCCUGAGGAGAAUCAUCAACUGGGCUUUACGGAAGAGAGAAAUCCAAACGACCAUCAGCAACAAAUGAAAGACUGAAGUUGAAAGGAAAUCCAUAAUUUUUGAAUGCUGGCCGAGGUCUGUGACCUCUGACUGAAUGGUUUCCAAGCUCCGAAUUCCUAGGUGAUGUUUUCAUUUGUUCACACUUGCUGAAGAAGGGAAAGGCUCUCUGAUUUACGUGUAAGCAAAACAAUCUAAACAGUAGGAUAAAAUCAUGUUGGAAUGGAGUUCUGUGUGGAUGCUCCUUUGAACCAAAUCAGUUCCACAACUGACCCUGUCAGGGACAUAUAAAUUUAGCAUUUUGGUGUGGAUACAGAAGACGAGAUUAACACAGAUCAAGUAACAUGGAAAUAAAAAAGGAGACAAUGCUGGAUGAUACAGGGGCAGCCAACAAGAGGAGAAAACCCAAGCAUUGGCAAAUGCCUCAUUAUCCAAAGAACACUCCUUAUACUCCUGAGAAUUUGUGGCAGUCCUGGGUUAAACGAUGAAGGCUUCUUAUUCUCAUGUAGGUCUCACAGCCUCUUGUCUCCCUGAGUUUUAAACACAUUGCAUUACCUUUCCAGAGGUAAAAGAAAGCCUGAGGAGGCUUUCCCCUCUGAGUUUUUCCGUGGAUUGCUGGACUCUGAGGCCCUCAUUCCUCUUGCAGGAGGUGUGGAGCAAAACUGUGUUGAAUGAACUGUAGAUGGAAAUUCUCUCCUUCCCACCGAGGAGCCGCUGCAGGUUGCAGACUCCCAGAAUGCCACACUGAGAAGAGGAGGGCUAAAAUUCUAGAGCAGAAUCCCUGGGGCAGCCCCUGCUGAAGAAGGGUGCAUCUGUUGAGAAUCUCAUCACCGCCCCCACCCCGCCCAGCCUUCAAUUUAGAGGAAUUUCUAGUUCACGCAGAAUGAAGACAAGAUCACAUAAGUGAGGACGACGCCCCAUUUACAAGUGUGAUUUGGAAGACUGAAGUGGAAACCUUGGGAAGGGGCCUCAGAGUAUGUCAGCUGGGGUCAGACGGGAACAGGAGUCUGGCUCAACACACAUUUAUUGCACUCCUGUUUCAUGCCAAGAAAUGUACCAAAAUCUGGGACUGUGUAACACAGCAAAGGAAAAGACUCAUCUCCAGGAAGCCCCCUUGUCUAGGAAGAGAAAUUGAAUAUCAGCAUAAGGUGGUGAAAAGCUGUGAAGGAGAUGAGUGCCAGGAGUCCAUGGAGGAAGGAUUCUAGCCUGGACAGGUGAGGAAUGGCUUUCUGGAAGAAGCAGAUGCCCCAGCUGAACUUUAAAAUGCCCAUGUGAAAUGAACUGUCUGUAUCUUCAAUCAGCAAAUGGAGUGAUUGUGGUGAAUAGUCAUGAGAAUCUGGGAACUGGCUCCUGCUCUGUCUAUCUUGGAGAUGCAUCUUUUGUGAGAAGCCAGGGCAAGAAUAGGGAGGCUUAGGCAAUGGGAAGUUUCUGAGUAGAUAAAGCAGAUGGCAGAGCAAAGGGACAGAGCCUGGCGAGAGGCUACUCCCUGUAGCAACCUGCCUAAGAGUGAGAGGAAAGCAAGGCAUGGCUAUGAGCACGUGUAGUCUCAGCUACUUGGGAAGCUGAGGCUGGGGGAUCACUUGAGCCCAGGAGUUCAAGACCAGCCUAGGCAACAUAGUGAGACCAUGUCUCUUUAAAAAAAAAAAAAAAAAGAAAAA